Molecule: non-coding RNA, 29 nt
Filed under: Homo sapiens (human)
Lineage: Eukaryota; Metazoa; Chordata; Mammalia; Primates; Hominidae
Source: RNAcentral
UGCUACACGGCCAAUUUCGUGGCCCCGGA